This 500-nucleotide ribosomal RNA is filed under the name uncultured Glomeromycotina. RNAcentral's name for it is "partial small subunit ribosomal RNA". It matches the Rfam family "Eukaryotic small subunit ribosomal RNA", at positions 591 to 1092 of the family's 1831-position model. The record is from RNAcentral. Lineage: Eukaryota; Fungi; Glomeromycota.
CCAAUAGCGUAUAUUAAAGUUGUUGCAGUUAAAAAGCUCGUAGUUGAACCUCGGGAUCAAUGGAUCGGUCAUGCCAUCGGUAUGUACUGGUCUCAUUGGUUCUCACCUUCUAAGGAACCAUGAUGUCAUUCAUUUGAUGUUGUGGGGAAUUAGGACUGUUACCUUGAAAAAAUUAGAGUGUUUAAAGCAGGCUAACGCUUGAAUACAUUAGCAUGGAAUAAUGAAAUAGGACAUCGCAUUCUAUUUUGUUGGUUUCUAGGAUCGAUGUAAUGAUUAAUAGGGAUAGUUGGGGGCAUUAGUAUUCAAUUGUCAGAUGUGAAAUUCUUGGAUUUAUUGAAGACUAACUACUGCGAAAGCAUUUGCCAAGGAUGUUUUCAUUAAUCAAGAACGAAAGUUAGGGGAUCGAAGACGAUCAGAUACCGUCGUAGUCUUAACCAUAAACUAUGCCGACUAGGGAUCGGAUGAUGUUGAUUUUUUAAUGACUCAUUCGGCACCUUACG